GUAAAAAGUAGAAUAAUAGAUUUGAAAUAUUUAUUAUAUAGAUUUAAAGAGAUAAUCAUGGAGUAUAAUAAUUAAAUUUAAUAAAUUUAAUAUAACUAUUAAUAGAAUUAGGUUACUAAUAAAUUAAUAACAAUUAAUUUUAAAACCUAAAGGUAAACCUUUAUAUUAAUAAUGUUAUUUUUUAUUAUAUUUAUAAUAAGAAUAAUUAUUAAUAAUAAUAAACUAAGUGAACUGAAACAUCUAAGUAACUUAAGGAUAAGAAAUCAACAGAGAUAUUAUGAGUAUUGGUGAGAGAAAAUAAUAAAGGUCUAAUAAGUAUUAUGUGAAAAAAAUGUAAGAAAAUAGGAUAACAAAUUCUAAGACUAAAUACUAUUAAUAAGUAUAGUAAGUACCGUAAGGGAAAGUAUGAAAAUGAUUAUUUUAUAAGCAAUCAUGAAUAUAUUAUAUUAUAUUAAUGAUGUACCUUUUGUAUAAUGGGUCAGCAAGUAAUUAAUAUUAGUAAAACAAUAAGUUAUAAAUAAAUAGAAUAAUAUAUAUAUAUAUAAAAAUAUAUUAAAAUAUUUAAUUAAUAUUAAUUGACCCGAAAGCAAACGAUCUAACUAUGAUAAGAUGGAUAAACGAUCGAACAGGUUGAUGUUGCAAUAUCAUCUGAUUAAUUGUGGUUAGUAGUGAAAGACAAAUCUGGUUUGCAGAUAGCUGGUUUUCUAUGAAAUAUAUGUAAGUAUAGCCUUUAUAAAUAAUAAUUAUUAUAUAAUAUUAUAUUAAUAUUAUAUAAAGAAUGGUACAGCAAUUAAUAUAUAUUAGGGAACUAUUAAAGUUUUAUUAAUAAUAUUAAAUCUCGAAAUAUUUAAUUAUAUAUAAUAAAGAGUCAGAUUAUGUGCGAUAAGGUAAAUAAUCUAAAGGGAAACAGCCCAGAUUAAGAUAUAAAGUUCCUAAUAAAUAAUAAGUGAAAUAAAUAUUAAAAUAUUAUAAUAUAAUCAGUUAAUGGGUUUGACAAUAACCAUUUUUUAAUGAACAUGUAACAAUGCACUGAUUUAUAAUAAAUAAAAAAAAAUAAUAUUUAAAAUCAAAUAUAUAUAUAUUUGUUAAUAGAUAAUAUACGGAUCUUAAUAAUAAAAAUUAUUUAAUUCCUAAUAUGGAAUAUUAUAUUUUUAUAAUAAAAAUAUAAAUACUGAAUAUCUAAAUAUUAUUAUUACUUUUUUUUUAAUAAUAAUAAUAUGGUAAUAGAACAUUUAAUGAUAAUAUAUAUUAGUUAUUAAUUAAUAUAUGUAUUAAUUAAAUAGAGAAUGCUGACAUGAGUAACGAAAAAAAGGUAUAAACCUUUUCACCUAAAACAUAAGGUUUAACUAUAAAAGUACGGCCCCUAAUUAAAUUAAUAAGAAUAUAAAUAUAUUUAAGAUGGGAUAAUCUAUAUUAAUAAAAAUUUAUCUUAAAAUAUAUAUAUUAUUAAUAAUUAUAUUAAUAAUAUAUAUAAUUAUAUUAUAUAUUUUUUUUAUAUAAUAUAAACUAAUAAAGAUCAGGAAAUAAUUAAUGUAUACCGUAAUGUAGACCGACUCAGGUAUGUAAGUAGAGAAUAUGAAGGUGAAUUAGAUAAUUAAAGGGAAGGAACUCGGCAAAGAUAGCUCAUAAGUUAGUCAAUAAAGAGUAAUAAGAACAAAGUUGUACAACUGUUUACUAAAAACACCGCACUUUGCAGAAACGAUAAGUUUAAGUAUAAGGUGUGAACUCUGCUCCAUGCUUAAUAUAUAAAUAAAAUUAUUUAACGAUAAUUUUAUUAAAUUUAGGUAAAUAGCAGCCUUAUUAUGAGGGUUAUAAUGUAGCGAAAUUCCUUGGCCUAUAAUUGAGGUCCCGCAUGAAUGACGUAAUGAUACAACAACUGUCUCCCCUUUAAGCUAAGUGAAAUUGAAAUCGUAGUGAAGAUGCUAUGUACCUUCAGCAAGACGGAAAGACCCUAUGCAGCUUUACUGUAAUUAGAUAGAUCGAAUUAUUGUUUAUUAUAUUCAGCAUAUUAAGUAAUCCUAUUAUUAGGUAAUCGUUUAGAUAUUAAUGAGAUACUUAUUAUAAUAUAAUGAUAAUUCUAAUCUUAUAAAUAAUUAUUAUUAUUAUUAUUAAUAAUAAUAAUAUGCUUUCAAGCAUAGUGAUAAAACAUAUUUAUAUGAUAAUCACUUUACUUAAUAGAUAUAAUUCUUAAGUAAUAUAUAAUAUAUAUUUUAUAUAUAUUAUAUAUAAUAUAAGAGACAAUCUCUAAUUGGUAGUUUUGAUGGGGCGUCAUUAUCAGCAAAAGUAUCUGAAUAAGUCCAUAAAUAAAUAUAUAAAAUUAUUGAAUAAAAAAAAAAUAAUAUAUAUUAUAUAUAUUAAUUAUAAAUUGAAAUAUGUUUAUAUAAAUUUAUAUUUAUUGAAUAUAUUUUAGUAAUAGAUAAAAAUAUGUACAGUAAAAUUGUAAGGAAAACAAUAAUAACUUUCUCCUCUCUCGGUGGGGGUUCACACCUAUUUUUAAUAGGUGUGAACCCCUCUUCGGGGUUCCGGUUCCCUUUCGGGUCCCGGAACUUAAAUAAAAAUGGAAAGAAUUAAAUUAAUAUAAUGGUAUAACUGUGCGAUAAUUGUAACACAAACGAGUGAAACAAGUACGUAAGUAUGGCAUAAUGAACAAAUAACACUGAUUGUAAAGGUUAUUGAUAACGAAUAAAAGUUACGCUAGGGAUAACAGGGUAAUAUAGCGAAAGAGUAGAUAUUGUAAGCUAUGUUUGCCACCUCGAUGUCGACUCAACAUUUCCUCUUGGUUGUAAAAGCUAAGAAGGGUUUGACUGUUCGUCAAUUAAAAUGUUACGUGAGUUGGGUUAAAUACGAUGUGAAUCAGUAUGGUUCCUAUCUGCUGAAGGAAAUAUUAUCAAAUUAAAUCUCAUUAUUAGUACGCAAGGACCAUAAUGAAUCAACCCAUGGUGUAUCUAUUGAUAAUAAUAUAAUAUAUUUAAUAAAAAUAAUACUUUAUUAAUAUAUUAUCUAUAUUAGUUUAUAUUUUAAUUAUAUAUUAUCAUAGUAGAUAAGCUAAGUUGAUAAUAAAUAAAUAUUGAAUACAUAUUAAAUAUGAAGUUGUUUUAAUAAGAUAAUUAAUCUGAUAAUUUUAUACUAAAAUUAAUAAUUAUAGGUUUUAUAUAUUAUUUAUAAAUAAAUAUAUUAUAAUAAUAAUAAUUAUUAUUAUUAAUAAAAAAUAUUAAUUAUAAUAUUAAUAAAAUACUAAUUUAUCAGUUAUCUAUAUAAUAUCUAAUCUAUUAUUCUAUAUACU
Molecule: ribosomal RNA, 3283 nt
Filed under: Saccharomyces cerevisiae YJM1307
Lineage: Eukaryota; Fungi; Ascomycota; Saccharomycetes; Saccharomycetales; Saccharomycetaceae
Description: 21S ribosomal RNA
Rfam family: Bacterial large subunit ribosomal RNA (bases 183-3128)
Source: RNAcentral